GUAGUUUGAUCUUGGCUCAGGACGAACGCUGGCGGCGUGACUUAACACAUGCAAGUCGAGCGGAAAGGCCACUUCGGUGGUACUCGAGCGGCGAACGGGUGAGUAACACGUGAGUAAUCUGCCCCUGGCUUUGGGAUAGCCACCGGAAACGGUGAUUAAUACCGGAUAUGACCACGUCUCGCAGUGGGGGUGUGGUGGUAAAGUUUUUCGGCCAGGGAUGUGCUCGCGGCCUAUCAGCUUGAUGGGUGAGGUAAUGGCUCACCAUGGCUUCGACGGGUAGCCGGCCUGAGAGGGUGACCGGUCACACUGGGACUGAGACACGGCCCAGACUCCGUACGGGAGGCAGCAGUGGGGAAUAUUGGACAA
Molecule: ribosomal RNA, 366 nt
Filed under: uncultured Actinomycetes bacterium
Lineage: Bacteria; Bacillati; Actinomycetota; Actinomycetes
Description: bacterial SSU rRNA
Rfam family: Bacterial small subunit ribosomal RNA
Source: RNAcentral